RNAcentral lists this unclassified non-coding RNA (306 nucleotides) under plant metagenome. RNAcentral's name for it is "partial contains 5.8S ribosomal RNA, internal transcribed spacer 2, and large subunit ribosomal RNA". The stretch from base 1 to 105 matches the Rfam family "5.8S ribosomal RNA", at positions 50 to 154 of the family's 154-position model. The record is from RNAcentral.
GAAAUGCGAUAAGUAAUGUGAAUUGCAGAAUUCAGUGAAUCAUCGAAUCUUUGAACGCACAUUGCGCCCGCCAGUAUUCUGGCGGGCAUGCCUGUCCGAGCGUCAUUUCAACCAUCAAGCCCCCGGGCUUGUGUUGGGGACCUGCGGCUACCCGCAGGCCCUGAAAAACAGUGGCGGGCUCGCUGUCACACCGAGCGUAGUAGCAAUCACCUCGCUCAGGGCGUGCUGCGGGUUCCGGCCGUUAAACAGCCUUACAAAACCCAAGGUUGACCUCGGAUCAGGUAGGAAGACCCGCUGAACUUAAGC